AAGUGCUUGAAGAGCAUAUCUACCAAAACAAAUACGAUUGCCUCGGCAGGAUUUUCCUUUCAUUCUUCCUCUAUGUUGUUUGCGAAAUCUGGUUCUUUUGGGGUUAUAGUCGAUGGUUCUCUUUCUUAGUUCCAUCUCUACUGCAAAACUGGACAUGAGAGUUUCUUCUCAUCCAGCUCCUCGCGAAUGGAAUGAGAAAGCAUGUAAAUUUCUCUAAUUCAUAAUAUUCAAAAAUAUUACGGUACGGAUAGAUACACAUUAAUAGAUAAUAGAAAAAGUUCGGUUUUUUUUAUAUUGAAUUUGUUAAAACAGAAAAAUAUAAUAUAUAGUCAAAAAAGAAGAUCUAGAAUAUAUCCAGAUGUGUGUGUAUAUUUAUCUAAAUUCUAUAUUUAUAGAUAAUGUAAUCCUUCUUAAAAAAAUCCUUAUUUUUACUCUUAUUGAAUCGCGGUAAAGUAUUCUAAUUCAAUAAGAAUUUCGCGGGCGAAUAUUUACUCUUUCCUGUCUUAUUUGUUAAUUUAUAAACUUACCAAAUAAGACAAUUUUUUUGGUUUGUUCCGCCAUCCCACCCAAUGAAGUGUUAGGAUUCUUUUCAAUAAAAUCCUAUGGAAUCAUAGGUUCUGUCGUUCCCACUGCUUCUCCUUGAAUGGUUAGGUCUGAAUCCCGCAACGGAGCUUCCAAAAAAUUUCUUUCCGAGUUAAUUUUCUUAGUUUUAUUAACCCGGGCGGCUCUUUAUUAUUGCUUUAAAUUUGUAGUUCUUGUUUCAAGUUAAAAUUUUUAAUUCUCUAUUAUUUUUAUUAUAUUGAUGCUUUAUCACAUUGCCUUUUAUGAUGUAAUUCAUAGACCAUACAUAGUGGAAUCCUAUAUCUUAUUUAUUUCCUCUUCCUUCUUUCUAUCAUCCCUCCCUUUAUCCACAUCCCUUUAGUUUUGCUUCACAACCUAGAAUCCCUUUUCUUUUUUAGAGAAAAAAUUGCAGUUGCUACAACUAUAUGACACAUCUACUCAUUUAUGAUAGAGGUAUUUAUUCAUACAGUGACUGUUUCUUAGUUAGGAUCUCGACAAUACGAAGCAAUAGGUUGGUUAUUAGUUAAUUUUCUAUAAUUACUAAGUUUUUUUCUUAAAAAAAAGAAAAAAAUAACGAGUCACACACUAAGCAUAGCAAUUAUAUUAAAUGAUUUAUCAAUUUUCAUUAAAUCUUAUAGAAAGAGGUAUAAUUUCUUCUUUUGCAGGGAUUUCAGGAAAAAAGUCUCUUGUCAUUUUUGAUUCUAUCAAUGGACAGAAUCCGAAGACAAGAUUACUUAUUCUUCGUCUACGAAUAUCCAAAUUUUUACACCUAAUACUCCAUAGAUAGUCCGAAUUGGAUAGCAGCAAUAAUCAAUUUUAGCGCGAAUUGUUUGGAGGGGAAGUCUACCCUUUUUAAUGGAUUCGGCGCGUGCAAUUUCUUUUCCUCCGAGACGACCCGCAAUUUUUACUUUUACUCCCCUUAUAUCUGCUUUUUUAGUUAAUUCAAUGGCUUUUUUCAUUGCCUUUCGGAAUGAAAAUUGAUAAAUCAUUUAAUAUAAUUGCUAUGCUUAGUGUGUGACUCGUUAUUUUUUUCUUUUUUUUAAGAAAAAAACUUAGUAAUUAUAGAAAAUUAACUAAUAACCAACCUAUUGCUUCGUAUUGUCGAGAUCCUAACUAAGAAACAGUCACUAUAUGAAUAAAUACCUCUAUCAUAAAUGAGUAGAUGUGUCAUAUAGUUGUAGCAACUGCAAUUUUUUCUCUAAAAAAGAAAAGGGAUUCUAGGUUGUGAAGCAAAACUAAAGGGAUGUGGAUAAAGGGAGGGAUGAUAGAAAGAAGGAAGAGGAAAUAAAUAAGAUAUAGGAUUCCACUAUGUAUGGUCUAUGAAUUACAUCAUAAAAGGCAAUGUGAUAAAGCAUCAAUAUAAUAAAAAUAAUAGAUAAUGUAAUCCUUCUUAAAAAAAUCCUUAUUUUGACUCUUAUUGAAUCGCGGUAAAGUAUUCUAAUUCAAUAAGAAUUUCGCGGGCGAAUAUUUACUCUUUCCUGUCUUAUUUGUUAAUUUAUAAACUUACCAAAUAAGACAAUUUUUUUGGUUUGUUCCGCCAUCCCACCCAAUGAAGUGUUAGGAUUCUUUUCAAUAAAAUCCUAUGGAAUCAUAGGUUCUGUCGUUCCCACUGCUUCUCCUUGAAUGGUUAGGUCUGAAUCCCGCAACGGAGCUUCCAAAAAAUUUCUUUCCGAGUUAAUUUUCUCAGUUUUAUUAACCCGGGCGGCUCUUUAUUAUUGCUUUAAAUUUGUAGUUCUUGUUUCAAGUUAAAAUUUUUAAUUCUCUAUUAUUUUUAUUAUAUUGAUGCUUUAUAACAUUGCCUUUUAUGAUGUAAUUCAUAGACCAUACAUAGUGGAAUCCUAUAUCUUAUUUAUUUCCUCUUCCUUCUUUCUAUCAUCCCUCCCUUUAUCCACAUCCCUUUAGUUUUGCUUCACAACCUAGAAUCCCUUUUCUUUUUUAGAGAAAAAAUUGCAGUUGCUACAACUAUAUGACACAUCUACUCAUUUAUGAUAGAGGUAUUUAUUCAUAUAGUGACUGUUUCUUAGUUAGGAUCUCGACAAUACGAAGCAAUAGGUUGGUUAUUAGUUAAUUUUCUAUAAUUACUAAGUUUUUUUCUUAAAAAAAAGAAAAAAAUAACGAGUCACACACUAAGCAUAGCAAUUAUAUUAAAUGAUUUAUCAAUUUUCAUUAAAUCUUAUAGAAAGAGGUAUAAUUUCUUCUUUUGCAGGGAUUUCAGGAAAAAAGUCUCUUGUCAUUUUUUAUUCUAUCAAUGGACAGAAUCCGAAGACAAGAUUACUUAUUCUUCGUCUACGAAUAUCCAAAUUUUUAC
RNAcentral lists this long non-coding RNA (2869 nucleotides) under Triticum aestivum (bread wheat). Its description in RNAcentral is "long non-coding RNA (TAES_LNC028434)". Lineage: Eukaryota; Viridiplantae; Streptophyta; Magnoliopsida; Poales; Poaceae. The record is from RNAcentral.